GUGGGGAAUCUUGCACAAUGGGGGAAACCCUGAUGCAGCGACGCCGCGUGAACGAUGAAGCCUUUCGGGGUGUAAAGUUCUUUCGGCAGGGACGAUUAUGACUGUACCUGCAGAAGCAGCUGCGGCUAACUACGUGCCAGCAGCCGCGGUAAUACGUAGGCAGCAAGCGUUGUUCGGAAUUACUGGGCGUAAAGAGUGCGUAGGUGGUUGGUUAAGUUUGGUGUGAAAUCUCCCGGCUCAACUGGGAGGGUGCGCCGAAAACUGGCUGGCUAGAGUGUGGGAGAGGGAAGCGGAAUUCCUGGUGUAGCGGUGAAAUGCGUAGAUAUCAGGAGGAACGCCUGCGGUGUAGACGGCUUCCUGGACCAUGACUGACACUGAGGCACGAAAGCGUGGGUAGCAAACAGGAUUAGAAACCCUGGUAGUCC
Molecule: ribosomal RNA, 425 nt
Filed under: uncultured bacterium
Lineage: Bacteria
Description: bacterial SSU rRNA
Rfam family: Bacterial small subunit ribosomal RNA
Source: RNAcentral